RNAcentral lists this ribosomal RNA (488 nucleotides) under uncultured bacterium. Its description in RNAcentral is "partial 16S ribosomal RNA". It matches the Rfam family "Bacterial small subunit ribosomal RNA", at positions 30 to 507 of the family's 1533-position model. The record is from RNAcentral.
UGACCGCUGGCGGCAGGCCUAACACAUGCAAGUCGACCGGUAACAGGAAGAAGCUUGCUUCUUUGCUGACGAGUGGCGGACGGGUGAGUAAUGUCUGGGAAACUGCCUGAUGGAGGGGGAUAACUACUGGAAACGGUAGCUAAUACCGCAUAACGUCGCAAGACCAAAGAGGGGGACCUUCGGGCCUCUUGCCAUCGGAUGUGCCCAGAUGGGAUUAGCUAGUAGGUGGGGUAACGGCUCACCUAGGCGACGAUCCCUAGCUGGUCUGAGAGGAUGACCAGCCACACUGGAACUGAGACACGGUCCAGACUCCUACGGGAGGCAGCAGUGGGGAAUAUUGCACAAUGGGCGCAAGCCUGAUGCAGCCAUGCCGCGUGUAUGAAGAAGGCCUUCGGGUUGUAAAGUACUUUCAGCGGGGAGGAAGGGAGUAAAGUUAAUACCUUUGCUCAUUGACGUUACCCGCAGAAGAAGCACCGGCUAACUCCGUG